RNAcentral lists this ribosomal RNA (536 nucleotides) under Trichonephila edulis (edible golden silk spider). RNAcentral's name for it is "bacterial SSU rRNA". It matches the Rfam family "Eukaryotic small subunit ribosomal RNA", at positions 537 to 1067 of the family's 1831-position model. The record is from RNAcentral. Lineage: Eukaryota; Metazoa; Arthropoda; Arachnida; Araneae; Nephilidae. RNAcentral also lists the same sequence under 1 other name.
ACGAGGACCUACCGGAGGGCAAGUCUAAUGCCAGCCGCUGCGGUAAUUUUAGCUCCGGUAGCGUAUGCUAAAAUUGCUGCAGUUAAAAUGUUCGUCGUCGGACCUCGGCCGCGGACGUGGGGUGGAAAGCCACCUCCGCGUUUCGCGUGCAUGUGGCCCGCCACCCCGAGGCGAGGUUUUAAUCGGUCACGCCCGGGUGGAUGGGGGUAAUCGCCCUGCCCAAAACAUGGUGCUCAAAGCAGGCCGGAAGUAUGCUGAGAUAGUAAUGCACGGAACGAUGGAAGACGCCUUCGGGUCCCGGUUCGAUGCAAGGGGUCGCGGGAACCCGAGGGAAUGAUCGAUAGGAGUAGACGGGGGCAAUCGUAUUCCGACGCUAGAGGUGAAAUUCUUGGACCGUCGGAAGACGAGCUACUGCGAAAGCAUUUGCCAAGUAUGCUUCCAUUGACCAAGGACGAAAGUAAGAGGCUCAAAGGAGAUUAGAUACCUUCGUAGUUCUGACCGCAAACGAUACCCGCCGGCGAUCCGGCUGCGUACGG